UGCUAUUCGUGCCACUAGAGAUCCUGAUUCGAGUCCAGGCUCUGUCGCAGCUGGCCACUCCUGUGAGACCCAUGGGGCAGCGCACAAUUGGCCCAGCAUCAUCCGGUGUUAGAGGGUUUGGCCGGCAGGGAUGUCCUUGUCCCAUCGCGCCCUAGCGGUCACCAGGUGUCCCAUCGCGCCCUAGCGGUCACCAGGUGUCCCAUCGCGCCCUAGCGGUCACCAGGUGUCCCAUCGCGCCCUGACACGGUCACCAGGUGUCCCAUCGCGCCCUAGCGGUCACCAGGUGUCCCAUCGCGCCCUGACACGGUCACCAGGUGUCCCAUCGCGCCCUAGCGGUCACCAGGUGUCCCAUCGCGCCCUAGCGGUCACCAGGUGUCCCAUCGCACCCUAGCGGUCACCAGGUGUCCCAUCGCGCCCUAGCGGUCACCAGGUGUCCCAUCGCGCCCUGACACGGUCACCAGGUGUCCCAUCGCGCCCUGACACGGUCACCAGGUGUCCCAUCGCGCCCUGACACGGUCACCAGGUGUACAGUGUUUCCUCUGACAUAUUGGUGUGGCUGGUUUCCGGGUUAAGCAGCAUUGUGUCAAGGGUACUAUUUGUCUGAAAAGGUGAAGUAUUGCGAUGAGCUAUACGACUGUACUUCUGAUUUUAAUUCUCAAGAGGAAAAUUAAAACCCUCAGCUGUGAGGUCACUGAGGAGGACCAACAGUGAUAGGGACUGACAUGCAGGGAUGGAACCUAAGCUAGUAUGGCUAACGUUAGGCAUAUCACAGCCUAUCGGGAUAGUCUGACUACACCAAAGUGAGAUACUCUGCAACGUUAUCUAGUUAACGUAAGCUAAUGUAGCCAACUAAGGUGCCUAACUUGCUAGCACACCAGGCAAUAUUUAGCUGGCUAUAUCUCUGCCCUUGUGGGCUAACAUUAGCUAGCAUGUCAUCAUGUUAAACACUAUGACUUCACCACAAUAGCUUGUUAGCAGCUAGCAAACAGGGUUUACCUCAUCACACAGCUCCAGUGACGCCUCUCGCUUACAGACGUCGGAAAACUAUUAAAUGCAUGUGUGCUUAUCGGAGUAGUGGAUACAAUCCGGCACAUAGCACAGAAACAUCCUUGCUUCUGAUCGACAGAGAGAGCUAAGGUUGACGUUAGCUACAAAGGCCAGGGUCAUUAAAAAAAUUAUAGUAAUUAAAAAAUGCUAAGGUAACUAAUUCAUUAUAUAAAUUAUUUACACAACAAAGUAAAAAGUCUAUAAUAUCUACUCGCUAGGUUACUUGCUACUUGUCAAUGAGCGUUUGCAUGGAGAAAGGUUUCCGGCCUUGAGUGAUUACAUCACAGCUUGCAACAGGAUGUGUGGUUCUAUAUGAUGGCCACAUAAGAGGCUAAUUAGCAUUUCAUUUUUGGGGGGUAAUUACAGGUGGAUAUAUUGAUAAAAGUGACCUUGUCCGAGAGAGAUUUGCGCGGUUACCAAAACGUCAAGCCACGGUAAGCUUUCACAAAACUCAGCCUUUACAUGAAGUAGUACUAA
RNAcentral lists this long non-coding RNA (1524 nucleotides) under Oncorhynchus mykiss (rainbow trout). Its description in RNAcentral is "lncRNA (ENSOMYG00000049951.1)". Lineage: Eukaryota; Metazoa; Chordata; Actinopteri; Salmoniformes; Salmonidae. The record is from RNAcentral.